AUGUUGUCAGUGUGUAUCUGUAUGUGUGUAUGUGUAUCUAUGUGUAGGUCAGUGUGAAUCUGUGUGUUUCAGUGUGUGUAUCUGUUUGUGUACUUGAAUGGUGUCAGUAUGUAUAUCUAUGUAUCUGCAUGUGUGUCUGUGUGUGUAUCUGCUUGUCUGUCAGUGUGUGUCUGUAUUUGUAUCAGUGUGUGUAUAUUUUUAUUUGCAUGUCAG
Non-coding RNA from Pelobates cultripes (western spadefoot toad), 213 nucleotides. The record is from the annotation of a GenBank genome assembly. NCBI's taxonomy places the organism in Eukaryota, Metazoa, Chordata, Amphibia, Anura, Pelobatidae.